Molecule: long non-coding RNA, 10197 nt
Filed under: Linum usitatissimum (flax)
Lineage: Eukaryota; Viridiplantae; Streptophyta; Magnoliopsida; Malpighiales; Linaceae
Description: long non-coding RNA (LUSI_LNC004087)
Source: RNAcentral
UAUUCCAACUUGAACUCCCGUAUCCAAAUUUAUCCAACAUUCAGUUUAUUAAUACAGUGUAGGAAAGGAACACAAGUAUUCAACCUGCCAUGAAACUAGAGACAAUCUUCACAGCAAGUUAUUAACUUAUUCAUUUAUUUUUUACUACCCUCUUUUACAUUUAUUUACCGUGCCAGCUCAGCUGCCAGCUAACGGGGGUACAGAUAGAGUAGUGUGAUAAUUAACAGCGGGCGUUAGCGUCAACGCCAAUUCCGAGCUGCUGGCAGUACUGGGUAUAGUAGCUGACCCGAGCGUUAACGGCAGGAGUGUUGCCGCCGUUACACUCCAUGCUGUUAAUCUUACGGAUGGUGGCUCCGAACCCCUGAGGAAGGACGGCACGAACAUUUGUCAUCCAAAACCACAACGCCGUCCUCCACGCAAGCACCGGGUCUCUAGCCACGAUGUCUGGGUUCGCCACCCCGUCAAAUCCGUUGGCUUUCCCGGCUUCUGCGUAGUUGUAGUUCCACGUCAGCUGAAGUGGGCCCCGGCCGUAGUAUCUUUUCCCCUGAGCACAUGGGUACCGGCUCCGGUCGCAAUAUUCUGCCUUGUUAAUUUCUUCAAUGUAGCACAUACCUGCCGACAAGUGAAAAAAAAAGUCAACGAAGAGUAUAAGAAAGUCAAGUAAUAUUUGUUUAUUAAAAAAUCUUCAUCCAAAAAUUAAUAAUUGUCGAAUGAGAAAAUUCAUUUAACAAUUACUAGGAAUAUAAUAAUGUUCCUAAAUGAACAAAAUUUUAUUAGCUAAAUCACAUAAGCCAAUUUCAGUAUUUAUCCACAGUUAAUUAAUUAAUUAAUUAAACGGAUUAUUUUGUUGUAAAUUAGAAAUAAGAUUUUCUAAAUUAUGAAGAAUUGCAUGAUAAAAAUGUGGUUUAAAUUGUUAAGUGAAUAUUUAAUUGAAAUGGCAGUUGAGGCCAUAUUAUAAAACCGUUACAGAAAAUUUGAGAUGGAUAUGGUCUUAGAGUAUAGUAAGUGUAGCUUACUUCCGGUUUCGUGGGUGACAUGGGCGAAGAAGGCCGCGAUCUCGCGCUUGGAGCCGGCAUCGGAGCCCCGGUUGCCGAAGCUAGGGUAGGACCUAGCAGCCUGGAUAAAGGCCUCGCGGGUGUAGAAUGACUUCCCGGCACAGUUGUUGCCGGCGCGGUUGCGGAUGCCGUUGAAGAAAGCUGGGGUGACUAUGUUAGCAACCUGAGCUUCCACGACGGUGGUGGUGAUGGCCAAAGAGGCCACGAGUGUGGCUAUGGCUGCUAUGAGUAGCUGAAGAAGUUUUGCCAUGGUUGAGUGGACGAUUUUGGUUGUGGAAUGUGGUGUGUUGGGUUUGUGGUGAUGUUGAGAUGGAGCUAUUUAUAGGGAAAAAUGGAUGAGUGGGUUGUUGGGUUUGGAAGACCGAGUAAACCGAAAUAGUACCGAGUUGCCACGAAAUGGGUCUUGUAUGUAGAAUUCUAGCUAAGCUAAGUUCUUCAACCUUGUCUGCCGUGCUGAUGGGUUCACUUUGAAAAUGAUGUCUUUCUUUUGGACUUUCAUUCGUAAGCUACCAAAAUUUCCAUUGAAAAUGGAUAGCCAUCACCACUAUUAGGGAUUGCCAUUAGGAAAGAAAUGAUGAUGAAGAUUUGGGUGAAAGAUAUAAGAAAAUAUUAUAACCAUAAAAAAAUAAAGAAUAGGAAUAUAAUUAAUCGUGUGUUCUGUGUUUGAAUUUUCGUUCAUAAUUUGAGUAUGUUUUCAACAAACGAUAAGAUAUUUCUAAAUUAUAGAUGAAAUGGAAAUUUAGGGACUCCCAAAGCUGGUCAUAGCUGUGCGUACUGUUGUGAGUGUUGACUGACUGGGAGGAUAAUGUUAUCAAGUAUGGGGAGGAGAUUUAGGCGUGGAUUCGAAGCUGCAGUCUGCAGGACAAAGAAAAAGAAAUUUGAGGAGAAGAAGGAAGUGUUGACAUGCAUGCAUGUAUUACGUAUAGAGUUUGUUGAUGAAACUUUGUCGCCAUCUUUAGAUCGCAGGAAGAAGGUGGAUUAAUAAAGCGAUCACCUUGCACCGCACAAAACAAUAAAGCGAUGAAACUCACCGCCUCCGGAAUUACAGGCACAGAGACACGAACUUUACGGGAACAUAAACGUACGGUUUCGAAACUGGGAAGGCAAAAUGAAUUUAUACAUAACUCCACAAUACGACUCGCAUAUUUUUGACUCAAUUCAUCGAUGAAGAUGAUGCCCGUUACUUUCAGCAACAGUCCCCACUCCCAAACUUCGACUAGGCUCUGGUGAAGCUCCACCAGGCCAUCGGCGAGGCCGUCGCGAAGCUUCGACGAAUUGUUCUAACUAUUUAUGACAACCAAUAACUAAUUAAUUAUAUAUGAAAAUAACUAGUCAUAACAAUUUAACAAUACUUAGUUAUAUAACUAGUUACAAGAAGAAAUGAUAGACUCAAAUAUAAUGCAAAAUGAAGCUUCGUAGAGAGUUCAUAGCCUGAGAAACCGGCAACCCUCAACUCCACGAUCCUUUAAAGCAGCUAGCAUGGUUAAAUAGAAAGGCAUUCAAUACUAAGUUCAGUGACCAAACAUAAAUAGUUUCAUUUCAUUAGUUUUGCCGGCACCAAUGAUCUUCAGCUCCUAGCACCCAGGGUUCGAACUGAAGCUUCUCUGCAUCCUUCAGUUCAAACUCACAGAUUCUCAUUUGAUCAUCUCAAUCUCUGCAUUCGAUCAACAUGUCAUCUACCACUUACAUAUGAAUAUCGAGUCGAAUGAGUGAUAUCGUUUAAUAAGGCAGAUGAGAAAGCUUUAGAAUCUAGUAAUCCAUUCCUUAUUCAAACACGCGACAACUCAAGUCAUUGGGAUAUCUAACAAAGUCAUAACAUAACAGCUUAUGGUACAUAUGAGAUAUUAACCAUGAAACAUUGAAACUGUACAUAUCUAACAAAGUCAUAACAUAACAGCUAAAAGUACUAACUUGUUAAAACCAUUACGAAAAUUUACGCGAUCGGUCUCCAGGACGACGCACAACCGGUUCAACCAACCUCCAUCCGCUUUUUGCAAAACGAUUACACUGAUGUCAAGCUAGAAUGAAGGUCAGUAAGUUGAGAGUUCCUUGAGAAUCUAAGCCAAAGUUUCUUCUCAGCAUAUAGAAGACAAGGCUGCAUAACAAGGCCAAUAGCAAUGGCUGCAAAGCUAACGGCCAUGACCUUAAUCGGAGCAAUAACCAAGACCACCACCAACAGCAAGCUCGGAAUAAUGCACAUAACAACAGCUCCAACCGUCCCCAAGGGAACCUUGUAAGGCCUCGUCGCAUCAGGGUAAUCCACCCUAAGCUUAACGAAUGCGAUGAACUCCAUGAUCAUACCGAAACAGUAGAGGAAGUUCUCCGCUGCAACGAUCUCCUGAAAACUCAUCCACGAGAGCAACACCACCCCGGAGGCCGAGAACAGGAUCCCUAUCACAGGGGUUCCAUACCGAGACCUCUUGCUAAAGAAUCGAGGUAGCAUGCCUCGCUCCGCCAUUCCCAGGAGUUGGAACGAGUCGCUGCUCAUUUCAGCAAUGAACAUCCCCAUGUUUGAUACAGCUGAAGCUGCUUGUACCCAGUACAUCAGCCAAGCGCCUCCGAUGAUGGUGGCAAUCUCCGAGAAGUAACCGUCUCUCCAUUGGUUCCGGUCAAGUGGGAUUGCUCCAGUUCCGAUUAAUAGGGGGAGAAAGUAGCUGAAAACAGUUAAGAUCAGUGCGUAGAAGAGUGACUUGGGUAGGGUUUUACCAGGGUUUUCAACUUCUCCUGCUAGUGUACUGAUAGAAUCCCAAUAGUUGAGAUUCCAGAACAGUGUGUUUAAGUAAAGUGUCCAGUUCACAUUGCUCAUAUCAAUGGCAACCCAUCUCGAAGCCUCUAGUUUCGGAAUCGCUAUGAUUCCCAUCAGAAGAAACGGAAUGAGAGACAUCACUCCCAACAGUAUAGCAGCCCAUCCAACAAUGGUUAAUCCUCUAUAGUUCAACAGAGUAAGCAAGAAAGUCAGAACCAGAACUGCGACCAUUCGAACGAAGCCAUCAUCGAGAGCUGGAACGGCUGGUUUCAGGUAGUCUAGAAACAGAACAGGGUAUAGUGCAUUGUCAAUGACACCACUCAGCCAUUUCAUCCAACCUUGUUGGAACCCCCAGAACGGGCCGAGAGCCGAGGAAACCCAGACGACAUAGCCACCAUUUUCGGGGAACAUCGUGCUGAGUUCUGCUGUGAUUAGAGCCUCGGGAAUGCUCCACACGAACGGGAAGAUCACGAACCCAAGAAGUGCUAGAAGUGGCCCGGCUGCUCGAACGCUGUCUUCGACACCGAAUGGUCCUCCCGAUACUUCAUAGAAGAUCAGAAAGACGAGCGGAAGGAUUGAGACUUUGCGAUAUUUAUCGUGCUUUGGCGAAGAUGGCGGUUCACCAAUUGCUGCAUACUCAGUAUGGUUGGAAUCCAUGAAAAAAGCCAACACCUUUUGCUUCUGCAUUGAAGUAUAAAAGAUUUGAGUUAUGUUUAAGAGCUGUAAUCCAACAUAGAAUACCGAAAUUCAAGACUAAACAUUGAAAAUAGCAAUAUACGUGAUGCUUAGAGAUUAUGGCAGUCUGAUAAGUUGAGUAGAGUAAUAGCUUGAACAUUAAUCAACCAAAGAAGAAAUCAUUGAGGAACGAUUCAAAAGCUGGAACAGUUUAUCAUUCUAGACCUUCACAAAGAAAUCUGGGUUUUUCCUAACAUCACAUACAGGUGGAGCAAUCCACACCAACCAACUUCACAAACCAAUCUAAACACAUCAUCAUCUAGGCUUCAAUCUUAGAAACACGGGAAAAUGGCUGCAAAUGAAAAGAUGACGAAAACUCACCUCUUCAAGAAACAUGCAAAUUUACAGAAAGAGCGAAGGCACAACAGGGGAACCCAACUGAUUUAGAUUACGAAAUGGCACUGAGUGAGUGGGAAAUGAAGAAUAGAGACCAAAAGCCAAAAAUCGCCAACUAACCAUGUGAAAACGGGUGGCGAGACAGCAUUGCGAAUGCGUCAGCUUCCCAGUGACUGGACACAAGUACAACCACGCGUCCCAGAAAAACCUUCGUUAGUUUAGCGGUACCGCUUCCCUUCCAACUGCAAAUACACCAUAGUAAAAUUUCAGGAAGGUUUCUUCUUUUUCUUCCUUCUGUUUGAGAAUAAAAUAUAAUAGACUAUGCAAAGUGAAGGGAUAAAAAGGAGAGAAUUGUUUUUACGUUUUACAGUUUACGGCUAUUACCAAAUGCAGCGGAGUUCCAUGGGUUGGUAUCCCGCCACCUUUUAAGCUGAGAAUGCUUACUAAAACGGCUUAGUCUGCUGUACCAGUAACUCAACGGCUACCAGUAAUCCCCACAAGAACAACCCCCACCAUUGAAACGGUAGAAAACUUUCGGAUCUCUAAUCAUUAUCUCUCUGUUAGAAGCUAGAGAGAUCUUCUUCGCUACCUGAUGGCAAUCUUGGCAGACUCUAAGGUUCUUUCUGAUGAUAACAGGCUUCCCAACAGCUGUUGAUAUCAAGCCAAAGCCGAUAGCAAGUUUGACACUGUGAAGCUUCGGUGAAUUGGCUCCCUUCUUUAUCAAGUCCGCUGGUAUGAACUUAGAACACGAAUAGGCAUGGAUGCUUUCCUCCCCUGUUUUCUUUAACAUCACAUCUAGGACCUCAAUGAUCAUGUUUGUCUGUGGGUUGGUCUUGCCAUUGUUAAUGAACCUCUGGCUCUUACGUUCUUCAGUCUCUACUUUGCAACAUCCAUUUGUUUUCUUUAGCCCUUUCUCCUUCAUCAGAGAUUUAAUCCUGUUCACAUCGUCUGACCUCCCGGCUUCAACGUACAUCUUUGAAAGCAAGAUAUAGCAACCGGUGUUGUCAUGUUCAAGAGACAAGAUUUCCUUGGCAGCUAGUUCAGCUGACUCCAGGUCAUUGUUGUUCCUGCUUGCAGCUAGUAAUGAACCCCAGAUUCUUGCUGCAGUUUGUGCCACCAAUGGGAUCCCUUUGAUGAACUCCUUCGCUGCAUUGAGAUCUCCGGAACUUCCGAGAAAAUCUACCACACAGCCAUAAUGCUCAACCCCUGGAUCAAUAUUGUAGUCGGGUUUCAUUGCAUUGAAGAAUUCCCAACCCUUGUUCACCAGGCCAGAAAUGCUGCAAGCAUACAACAGGGAAACGAAAGUUCCAUGAUCCGGUUCAAUACCGCUGUCCUUCAUGGAUGAGAACAAGUUGAUAGCAGUUUCCCCAUAUCCAUGCAUAGCAUAAGCCAAUAUCAUAGUGUUCCACGAAGCCGAGUUCUUACCCGACAUUCCAUCAAAAAUCGUCCUUGCGGUCUGGAGGUCCCCGCAUUUUGCAUAAGCAUGAAUAAGAGCAUUGUAAAGUACGGUAUUUAAACCGAGUUUCACAACGUGACCGUGGAUCUGCUUGCACUCGCUUAACGAAUCUAGUUCAGCAUAGGCAGGAAGAACGCUAGCAACUGCGAUGGCGUCUGGUUUAAGGUUCUUCAACCACCACAAGUCGUGAAACAGUUCAAGAGCUUCUUCAUGCUUGUCAUUCUGUACAUAAACAGCAAUCAUGGUGUUCCAUGACACCAAGUUCUUUUUAUUAAUUUUCCCAAAAAGCUUCUCUGCCGAUCUCACUGUUCCACAUUUUCCAUAAGCAUCAACCAGAGCAGUUUCCAGAACUAUUUGAGGCAGAAGAAGCUUUCUAAUUGCAUAGCCAUGGAUGGAUUUAAUCUCCUUUAGACCUCCCAAUUGCGAACAAGAAGGGAGCACAUUUAUCAUGGAAACAGAAUCUGGAACCAAUGUGUGAUCCUCUUGCAUUACUUUCAAGCAAGCCAACGACUGCAAGUACUUCUUACUUGUAGCAUAAGCACUCAUCAGAGCAUUCCAAACAACAGCAUUUUUCAAUAGGAUCACACUGAACACCCUCUCCGCAUACCCAACUUCACCACAUUUACCAUACAUAUCCACAAGAGAUGUCCCAACCAUAACAUCCAAAUAAAUCCCUUUUCUUAUCACUUGACAAUGAACUUCCUUCCCAGACUUCAAACAGCUCACUACAGAACAAGCCCCAAGAGCACUAAUGAAACUAACCCGAUCCGGUCCGACCCUCGACCGAACCAUCUCCCUGAACCAAACCAACGACCUCAACCCAUCUCCAACCACCAAACACCCACCAACCACAGUGUUCCAAGAAACCAAGUCUCUCACGGGCAUUCCAUCAAACACUUUCUCCGCUGACUCAACCAACCCAAACGAGAAAUACAUCUCCACAAGAAAGUUACACACGUACACGUCCAUAUCCAACCCGAGCUUAAUCACCUUGCCGUGAACCCUCUCCCCUUCACCCAAAUCCGACAACUCCCCACACGCUUUGAUCACGAAGGGGAAAGUGAAGUGAUCGAUCCUAACCCUGUCUCGCUCCAUCCUCCGGUGAAAAUAUACGGCUUCAGAGAACAACCCGUUGCGUGUGAACCCUCUGAUCAUGACGUUCCAUAUGAAGGUGUCUGAAUGGUUCAUUUUGUCGAACAGCUUGAGCGCGGUGUCCAUCGAACCCGAGUCUACCACUGCUGUAAGGGAACGAGUGAGUCCCAGACUGUUGGGUUUGCUCCAUGAUGAUUUUGCAGAGCGUGGGGGGAUUUGAGCUUGCUUUAUUGCUUUGGAUUGUUUUGUGGGAUUCUCGAUUGGCUUGAAUGAGUUGUUGCAGCAGCAGCUGCGAAGAAUUGCCGCCAUUUUCCUUUUUCAAGCCCUGCCCUAAUUCAUUUUAUUUGGAUAAUGUAAUGCAGAUCGGGGUCGGGUUUGAUACAUUUCGGGUCGGGUUGCGAGUUGCCUGGUUCGAAGCCCACUGGUCUUUUCUAGGCCUACCCAUGAUAUUCUGUUUGAUUAUUUUUUUAUCCCACUGAAAUUUUAAAAAACCAUUUCGUUAAAUAUUUGUGUUAUCUUGUGUCGUAUGUAAUUUCGAGAUUAAAAAAUCAAAGCUCAUUACUGUACAAAAUCUUCAUGUUUGGUCAUAUAUCUAAAGUUUAUUAAUGAUUACAUAAUUAUGAGUGAUUUAAAGUUUAACUCAUGAUAUUCUAUCGGCUUGAUUAUAACUCAUAUUAUCAUGUAUUUGAUCAAAUAUCGACAUCAUGGCCUAGACCGAUGUCAAAAGCUUACCGACAUAGCUUGGCCAAUGUCAAAUCACGAAAUGCGACAAAAUAUGAUGUAAUUAUUUAUUUAGAUUCACUAUAACUUUAUUCCCAUGCAUGUCUAUCGUUGUUUAAUUCAUGUAGGUUACAUUUUUAAAGGAAUAAUAGGACUUUGACUCCUCCUAUUUGACCAAGUUAACAAAUUAAUUCUUGUACUAUAAAAUGCUUAAUUUACCUGUCCUACUUCACUAAGUUAACAACUAAACCCUUUAGUUACUCUUUUCAUCAAUUUAGCUUUAACUUGCAGUGUAUCAGCACUGUCAUGCGUGGGUUUUGAUAAGAUUUGAUCCAAUAACUCCAAUGUUAAAUUUGAAUGUGAGAAGAUUCUGACAUAUCAUUCGAAAUAUCAUUACAUUUUAAUACUCAAGUUAUGAAAGGGGUUCUGAUGAAACUAAAGGCUUUUGAUGAUGUAACGAGUUUAUCAAAUUCAACAAUUAUUAAACCAUACAUAUUUUUAAAUAAGAAAAACAACAAGUUGAAAACAAAAAGGGAAGAACCCUAGAUGCCUAGCUGCCGCUUUAUUCAAGCACCGUUGCCGCUUUUUGGAGAGUAUAAUAUCGAUUUCGUUGCCGCCGCUAAUCCAAUCGAGACCAUGUCUCUCCCACAUUCCCGUUUCGAUCUUCCCAACGCAACAGGCCUGCGCGGAGCUCCGUCGUUAGGAGCUACGCCGGCUCUCGCGACCGACACGAAGAACGUCGUUACCUCCCCAGCGGCCACCGCAACGCCUCCAACCACCAUCGCCGGAUUCCCCACCGCGAGCCCGAUCUGGCUCCUCUAUCUCGACGGCGCACGGAACCCCGACUCCAAGUUCUACGACCACACCCACGUGUGGCACGACGAACAGGGAUCUCCCGAAUCCACCGCGAGCCCUCGCGCUACUACCACACCUCCAACACUCGCCCUGGGUUUCCAACCACCACCGCCAGUCACCGGGAGGACCAACACCUCCUCUCCAACGCCUCCCACUGCUGAUUCGGGGAGCACAUCUCGGAGGAGACCUACAACCAUCAAAUCGGCCCGGAAAUUAGGGUCUAAAACUCUCAACUAAGAAGGAAGGAGAGAUAGCCAUGAGACUAGUCUUAUGGUGUUUCCAAUAAGGACUUUUACGCGUCCAUUCCUAUUGUUUUGCUUCUUUUAGUCAUGUGUUUGCGUACUUUUGCGUAUUGUUCUUUGGGGACUCUGUUACUUUACCGUUGUCCGUUAGCUGGUGAGCAAGGACCGAGGUUAACGCUUAUUGGAGGAGACUCGCAGGCCAUAUAGCUCCAUUUGUGGAGUCUGUACCUCCGAUGGGCACUAUGUACGCUCCUUUGAACGUUUAGAGAAAUAACAGUUCGAGUACCAUCCCUUGAAAAAAAUAAAAAUAAAACAACGAAACGAAACAUUAUUCAUUUUUUAUUAGUUAUUCAUGUAAUCCUCAUCACUUUAUUUAAUUCAUACGAUACGAGAGUACUUAAUAAUUUAACAGCUGACACUAGGCUCAACGUUGACUCCCAACUGGUGGCAGUAAGCGGUAUAGUAGCCGACCCGAGCCCUGACGGCGGGGACGUUGCCGCCGUUGUAUUCCAUACCGUUAAUCCUACGGACGGGGGGCGCGAUAACCUGNNNNNNNNNNNNNNNNNNNNNNNNNNNNNNNNNNNNNNNNNNNNNNNNNNNNNNNNNNNNGGCGGAAGGGGGAAAGGGCGCCGCCCCGCCCCCAGCCGGCGAGAACGUUCCCGCCGUUGCAUUCCAUACCGUUAAUUCUACGGAUGGUGGCUCCGAAUCCCUGAGAGAGCACCGGACGGACUUGCGUCAUCCAAAACCAUAACGCCGUCUUCCACGCAAGUAUCGGAUCUCUCGCAACCAUAUCUGGGUCUCCGAUGCCGUCAAAUCCGUUGGCCCUCCCGGCUUCCGCGUAGUUGUAGUUCCACGUCAGCUGAAGUGGUCCCCGACCGUAGUAUCUCUUCCCCUUAGCACACGGGUACCGACCAGGGUCGCAGUAUAUUCCCCUGUGAAUUUCUUCAAUAUUGCACAUAU